GGACGUUGUAGCCUGCGAUAAGCCUCGAGGAGCUGGCAAACGAGCUGUGAUCCGAGGGUGUCCGAAUGGGGAAACCCGGCUGGAGUCAUGUCCAGUCACCCACGUCUGAACACAUAGGGCGUGUGGAGGGAACGCGGGGAAGUGAAACAUCUCAGUACCCGCAGGAAGAGAAAACAAGAGUGAUUCCGUGAGUAGUGGCGAGCGAAAGCGGAUGAGGCUAAACCGGUCGCGUGUUCAAGCGGACAGGCGUUGCGUGGUCGGGGUUGUGGGACCCUUCUGAUCCAACUGUUCUUGGGUCGGGGAGUGAGAAAAUCGCGUCAUAGUCGAAGGGCCUUGAAUGGUCUGGCAUAGAGGGUGGUACCCCCGUAGACGAAAUGGCGUGGUCUCCUGAGGGUGUUCCCGAGUAGCACGGGG
Molecule: ribosomal RNA, 414 nt
Filed under: uncultured bacterium
Lineage: Bacteria
Description: bacterial LSU rRNA
Rfam family: Bacterial large subunit ribosomal RNA
Source: RNAcentral